This is a long non-coding RNA of Oncorhynchus tshawytscha (Chinook salmon), 1664 nucleotides long. The record is from Ensembl. Lineage: Eukaryota; Metazoa; Chordata; Actinopteri; Salmoniformes; Salmonidae.
UUCAAACUUGCAACCUUUCUGUUACUAGUCCAACGCUCUAACCACUAGGCUACCAUGCCGCCCCACUAAGUUCUUGAAAUGUUCCAGGUUUUGACUGACCAUCAUGUCUUAAAGUAACAAUGGACUGUCAUUUAUCCUUGCUUAUUUGAGCUAUUCUUGCCAUAAUAUGGUCUUGGUCUUUUACUAAAUAGGGCUAUCUUCUGUAUACCAUCCCUACCUUCUCACAACACAACUGAUUGGCUCAAUGCAUUAAGAGGAAAGAAAUUCCACAAAUGAACUUUUAACAAGGCACACCUGUUAAUUCAAAUACAUUCCAGGUGACAACCUCAUAAAGCUGGUUGAGAUAAUGCCAAGAUUGGGCAAAGCUGUCAUCAAGGCAAGGGUGGCUACUUUGAAGAAUCUAAAAUAUAUUUUGAUUUGUUUAACACUUUUGGUUACUACAUGAUUCCAUAUGUGUUAUUUCAUAGUUUUGAUGUAUUCACUAUUCUACAAUGUAGAAAAUAGUCAAAUAAAGAAAAACCCUGGAAUGAGUAGGUGUGCCCAAACUUUUGACUGGUACUGUAUAUACACAAUCAUGUGGACUUGAAAAACAUAGUCUGUAAGAACAAAUCAUAGCACUGAUGAAGCAUGUUCUGCACUGUAUGUGAAUAUGUAGCUAAUAAAAGUGUCCAAAUAUCCUCUCAUUCAAUAUUUACAUUACAUUUGAGUCAUUUAGAAGACUGUCUAAUCCAAAGUGAUUUAACAGUCAGUGCAUUAGUUCCACCACUGAGGUGCCAGCACAGAGAAGAACUGAAAUUUGGAUGAGUGGGAGUUGGCCCCUCGCAGGGAUGGUGGAUCCAAGUGGCCAGAGGUGGCAGAAUGGAGUGCUUGUGCUGGAGUGUAGGACUUGACCAUUUAGUUGAGGUAGGGAGGAACAGUUCCCUGUGCUACUCUGUUGGCAAGUGAGGAUCUUGAAUUUAAUGCGAGGUGCUACUGCACAGUAAUGUCACAAGAGUUCAUUUAACUUCUAUGAAGUCAAAUGUAACACUAUUUUGGGAUUUAUAUGGUCCCACCCCCAUUUUGUGUUAAAACUACUCUGGUCAUGGUGUUAAUAUUUUUUGAGUCAAAACAACACUACAGAUGUCAGAUCUUAAUCUUCACUCUUGUCACAGAGAAAUGUCCUGUUGCAUCAGGGAAUUCAAAUGAGCCCUGUGAUUCCUUGAACAUGAGCAGUUCUCUUUCUCUCCAUGCAGUGGCAGUCAAGUCAUUGGGAUCUGCUGUCAAUAACAUUCUCUCUCGCUCGCUUCAAACGCAAGGCCUAUGUCUUAUUACUGCAGCAUUCAUAUGUAAAAAACUUUAUCUGAAAUGUAGCCAUACAGAUCAACAACCAUUAUUUUAUAUAGCUUAAUAACACAAGAUAGAUAUUGGUCUCCUCUAGGCAAUGGCAUACAAGUGUGGAGUGUAUCCUAAGGUUACGAAGGAACUGUCAAAAUUGAGUUCAAUCGUGGCCUGGGGUGGUCGAGUACAGGGUGCCCCAGGCCCGAGUUUGAGAAACCCUGGUUUAGUUGUUAAGGCCGCUGCCUUCAGUGCACAUAUAGAGUUAGCGUGUCGACGUGGGUUUGAUUCUGGCCCACUUGGGUUUGAUUCUGGCCCACGCCCUUCUGGUACAGAUAACUCAAUGCCCC